This 524-nucleotide ribosomal RNA is filed under the name uncultured bacterium. Its description in RNAcentral is "bacterial SSU rRNA". It matches the Rfam family "Bacterial small subunit ribosomal RNA", at positions 777 to 1301 of the family's 1533-position model. The record is from RNAcentral.
AAUAGAUACCCAGGUAGUCCAUGCCGUAAACGAUGUCUACUAGCCGUUGGGGCCUUUGAGGCUUUAGUGGCGCAGCUAACGCGAUAAGUAGACCGCCUGGGGAGUACGGUCGCAAGACUAAAACUCAAAUGAAUUGACGGGGGCCCGCACAAGCGGUGGAGCAUGUGGUUUAAUUCGAUGCAACGCGAAGAACCUUACCUGGUCUUGACAUACAGAGAACUUUCCAGAGAUGGAUUGGUGCCUUCGGGAACUCUGAUACAGGUGCUGCAUGGCUGUCGUCAGCUCGUGUCGUGAGAUGUUGGGUUAAGUCCCGCAACGAGCGCAACCCUUUUCCUUACUUGCCAGCAUUUCGGAUGGGAACUUUAAGGAUACUGCCAGUGACAAACUGGAGGAAGGCGGGGACGACGUCAAGUCAUCAUGGCCCUUACGACCAGGGCUACACACGUGCUACAAUGGUCGGUACAAAGGGUUGCUACACAGCGAUGUGAUGCUAAUCUCAAAAAGCCGAUCGUAGUCCGGAUUGG